CGGCGGACGGGUGAGUAACGCGUGGGUAACCUGCCUUGUACGUGGGGGACAACAGUGGAACGACUGCUAAUACCGCAUAAGCGCACAGCUUCGCAUGAAGCAGUGUGAAAAACUCCGGUGGUACAAGAUGGACCCGCGUCUGAUUAGCUGGUUGGUGAGGUAACGGCCCACCAAGGCGACGAUCAGUAGCCGGCCUGAGAGGGUGAACGGCCACAUUGGGACUGAGACACGGCCCAA
This 237-nucleotide ribosomal RNA is filed under the name uncultured bacterium. RNAcentral's name for it is "partial 16S ribosomal RNA". It matches the Rfam family "Bacterial small subunit ribosomal RNA", at positions 96 to 334 of the family's 1533-position model. The record is from RNAcentral.